This 333-nucleotide ribosomal RNA is filed under the name uncultured Anaerolineaceae bacterium. RNAcentral's name for it is "bacterial SSU rRNA". It matches the Rfam family "Bacterial small subunit ribosomal RNA", at positions 1035 to 1382 of the family's 1533-position model. Lineage: Bacteria; Bacillati; Chloroflexota; Anaerolineae; Anaerolineales; Anaerolineaceae. The record is from RNAcentral.
CAGGUGUUGCAUGGCUGUCGUCAGCUCGUGUCGUGAGAUGUUCGGUUAAGUCCGCUAACGAGCGCAACCCUCGCUGUAUGUUACAUGUGUCAUACAGGACCGCCGGUAUCAAGCCGGAGGAAGGUGGGGAUGACGUCAAGUCCGCAUGGCCUUAUGUCCGGGGCUACACACACGCUACAAUGGUCGGUACAAUGGGUUGCUAAGCCGCGAGGUGGAGCCAAUCCCCCAAAGCCGGCCUCAGUUCAGAUUGCAGGCUGCAACUCGCCUGCAUGAAGCUGGAGUUGCUAGUAAACGCGCGUCAGCUAUAGUGCGUUGAAUACGUUCUCGGGCCUU